Molecule: ribosomal RNA, 2875 nt
Filed under: Cobetia sp. ICG0124
Lineage: Bacteria; Pseudomonadati; Pseudomonadota; Gammaproteobacteria; Oceanospirillales; Halomonadaceae
Description: 23S ribosomal RNA
Rfam family: Bacterial large subunit ribosomal RNA
Source: RNAcentral
GUUAUAUGGUCAAGCGAUUAAGCGCAUACGGUGGAUGCCUUGGCAGCCAGAGGCGAUGAAGGACGUGAUAGCCUGCGAUAAGCGUUGGCGAGGUGGCAAAUACCCUGCGACCCAACGAUUUCCGAAUGGGGAAACCCACUCACCAUCAGGUGAGUAUCUAUAGGCCAAUACAUAACCUAUAGAGGCAAACCCGGGGAACUGAAACAUCUAAGUACCCGGAGGAAAAGAAAUCAACCGAGAUUCCCCAAGUAGCGGCGAGCGAACGGGGACCAGCCCUUAAGCGAUACAACUGACAGACGAACAAGCUGGGAAGCUUGACGAUACAGGGUGAUAGUCCCGUAGUCGAAGUCUGAGUAUCGUGAAAUCGAGUAGGUCGGGGCACGAGAAACCUUGACUGAACAUGGGGGGACCAUCCUCCAAGGCUAAAUACUCCUGGCUGACCGAUAGUGAACCAGUACCGUGAGGGAAAGGCGAAAAGAACCCCGGCGAGGGGAGUGAAAUAGAUCCUGAAACCGUAUGCGUACAAGCAGUGGGAGCACCUUCGUGGUGUGACCGCGUACCUUUUGUAUAAUGGGUCAGCGACUUAUAUUCUGUGGCGAGCUUAACCGUAUAGGGGAGGCGUAGCGAAAGCGAGUCUUAACUGGGCGACCAGUCGCAGGGUAUAGACCCGAAACCGGGCGAUCUAUCCAUGGCCAGGGUGAAGAUUGAGUAACAUCAAUUGGAGGCCCGAACCCAAGUAUGUUGAAAAAUGCUGGGAUGAGCUGUGGAUCGGAGUGAAAGGCUAAUCAAGCCCGGAGAUAGCUGGUUCUCCUCGAAAGCUAUUUAGGUAGCGCCUCACGUAUCACCGCUGGGGGUAGAGCACUGUUUCGGCUAGGGGGUCAUCCCGACUUACCAACCCGAGGCAAACUCCGAAUACCAGUGAGUGCAGCGUGGGAGACACACAGCGGGUGCUAACGUCCGUUGUGAAAAGGGAAACAACCCAGACCGUCAGCUAAGGUCCCAAAAUCCUGAUUAAGUGGGAAACGAUGUGGGAAGGCUCAGACAGCUAGGAGGUUGGCUUAGAAGCAGCCAUCCUUUAAAGAAAGCGUAAUAGCUCACUAGUCGAGUCGGCCUGCGCGGAAGAUAUAACGGGGCUAAAUCAGGUACCGAAGCUACGGGUUCAUCCUAGGUAGAUUGAGAAGUCUGCUGGAGGUAUCACGAGUGCGAAUGCUGACAUGAGUAACGAUAAGGGGAGUGAAAAACUCCCCCGCCGGAAGACCAAGGUUUUCUGUUCUACGUUAAUCGGAGCAGAGUGAGUCGGCCCCUAAGGCGAGGCGGAAACGCGUAGUCGAUGGGAAACGGGUUAAUAUUCCCGUACCGGAUGUGGUUGCGAUGGGGGGACGAAGAAGGCUAGGUGAGCCAGGCGUUGGUUGUCCUGGUGAAAGCAUGUAGGCCGAGGAAUCAGGCAAAUCCGGUUCCUCUGAGGUCGAGAUGCGAGACGAACUGACCACGGUCAGGAAGUCAUCGAUGCCACGCUUCCAGGAAAAGCCUCUAAGCUUCAGAUCACAUGCGACCGUACCCCAAACCGACACAGGUGGUCAGGUAGAGAAUACCAAGGCGCUUGAGAGAACUCGGGUGAAGGAACUAGGCAAAAUGGCACCGUAACUUCGGGAGAAGGUGCACCGGUUCGAGUGAAGGACUUGCUCCGUAAGCUCUUACCGGUCGAAGAUACCAGGUGGCUGCAACUGUUUAUUAAAAACACAGCACUCUGCAAACGCGCAAGCGGACGUAUAGGGUGUGACGCCUGCCCGGUGCCGGAAGGUUAAUUGAUGGGGUUAGGAUUCGUCCGAAGCUCUUGAUCGAAGCCCCGGUAAACGGCGGCCGUAACUAUAACGGUCCUAAGGUAGCGAAAUUCCUUGUCGGGUAAGUUCCGACCUGCACGAAUGGCGUAAUGAUGGCCACGCUGUCUCCACCCGAGACUCAGUGAAAUUGAAAUCGCAGUGAAGAUGCUGUGUACCCGCGGCUAGACGGAAAGACCCCGUGAACCUUUACUAUAGCUUUACACUGGAUGCUGAUGUUGUCUGUGUAGGAUAGCUGGGAGGCUUUGAAACCACGUCGCCAGAUGCGGUGGAGCCAACCUUGAAAUACCAGCCUGACAUCAUUGGCGUUCUAACUCAGGUCCGUUAUCCGGAUCGAGGACAGUGUAUGGUGGGUAGUUUGACUGGGGCGGUCUCCUCCUAAAGAGUAACGGAGGAGCACGAAGGUACCCUCAGCACGGUUGGAAAUCGUGCAUUGAGUGCAAGAGCAUAAGGGUGCUUGACUGCGAGACAGACACGUCGAGCAGGUACGAAAGUAGGUUCUAGUGAUCCGGUGGUUCUGUAUGGAAGGGCCAUCGCUCAACGGAUAAAAGGUACUCCGGGGAUAACAGGCUGAUACCGCCCAAGAGUUCACAUCGACGGCGGUGUUUGGCACCUCGAUGUCGGCUCAUCACAUCCUGGGGCUGAAGUCGGUCCCAAGGGUAUGGCUGUUCGCCAUUUAAAGUGGUACGCGAGCUGGGUUUAGAACGUCGUGAGACAGUUCGGUCCCUAUCUGCCGUGGGCGUCGGAAGUUUGAGAAGAGCUGCUCCUAGUACGAGAGGACCGGAGUGGACGAACCUCUGGUGUUCGGGUUGUCAUGCCAAUGGCAUUGCCCGGUAGCUACGUUCGGACGGGAUAACCGCUGAAAGCAUCUAAGCGGGAAGCCCCCUUCAAGAUGAGACUUCCCUGAGGCCUUGCGCCUCCUGAAGGGCCCUUGAAGACUACAAGGUUGAUAGGCUGGGUGUGGAAGCACAGCAAUGUGUUGAGCUAACCAGUACUAAUUGCCCGUGAGGCUUGACCAUAUAACACCCAAGGGGUUU